GGCCACCACAGCCCCUGCCUCUCUUCCUACCUGCACCCAGUGGGAGGCCCAAGGGCCAAGCAGCAGAGACGUGGCCACCGUCACGGCUGGAGCAGGACCGCAGAUGGGCGAGGGACUCAGAUGGGCAUUUGUGGAGGUCAUGCCUGUUUUCUCUGUACCAGGCACAAGAAGGACGUCUGGACUACGCCGAGGGGGCUGUGAGGGUCUCUUGCUGAGAACACUGAAGCUCAGGGGCUGCAUGACCCCUCGGGGCCUGUGGCUGCUCAGGGGAGGUCAGGACUGGGGCCAGGAGUGACCAGGCGUCCUCUCCCUGGUGUGGACGGUCCUGAGCGCCUACAGAGGCCCUGAGGGCCUUCCCCCCACACUCCCUUGGUGGCGGGCGGGUGGGCAUGUGCCCCCCCACUGCUCCUCUGGACGCCAACGCCACCUUCAAGCUGCCCUUUAACUUAUAUGCCAGGCAUUCAUCUCCAUUCUGGCCCAGGUUGCGGGGGGAGCAGGACGGGGAGGGACAGCGCGUGCAGGCUGGCAUGGUCACCCCCAAGCCCUCUGGGCAGUGGGCAGGACUCAGGGCUCCAUGCCCCUGUGGGCUCAGAGGGCAGCCCGCCCAGACGUGGGCAAUGGGAGGGCCCUGGCUCCCCUGCGGGCUCAGAAGGCACAAACGAAUGCCCGAGGUGGGCUCCUGAGAGCUGGACCUGGCCAGAGGCAGGGGAAGUUGGAGGGAGCAAGACGGGUGUACCCGCCCUCCUCUGCGGGCCAGCCGCUGGGAGGGGCAGCUUCUCUGCAGAUUUUCUGGAGGAGUCCUCGUCCUCUGGGCGUCCAGCUGGGACACCUCACACCCUGAGGUCAGAGCCAUCAGCCCCCAGCCCCCACAGAGCUCCCGGCCCUUGGGGGCAUUUAGCCCUUGCCUCAGGCCCUGCUUUCUAGGGACCUGGGCUGAGACACAAGCUGGGGCUCUGGGAAGUGGCGGGGGUGACCCAGGCGAGGCUAGUUAAGGCUGGAGUCACUGCUCUGUCAUUGUCCCAAUCAGGGAUCCAGGAAUCAGGGAGGGACUGGGCGGUUGGACGUGACCUUCGGGAAGGACCUUGCGCUGCGCUUGGCUUCUGGGUGGGAACCGGGGUCCCGUGGGGGCCCCAGGUGACUGACUGCAGGCCGCAGGACCGCCCCAGGUCAGGGCCGGGAGUGGCGGGAGCACAGGGGUCUAACCGUGCAGGCCCCUCCCAGGGCCGGGUGGAGAGCCCUCAGAGCCUGUUCCCGGCGCCCAAAGGUGAACCAGCAGAGCGCACCCAAGAAAAAGCGGUUAACUGUUCUGCCUCCGUCAAAGUGGCGGCCAAGUGGUUAACUGGCUUUGCUGUCAACGGCGUAAUGAAUAUUCAUGAGGUGGGCUGUCCUCAGGCCUGUGGCUCCCAUGCAGCCCGGUGUGCGCGCCUGCGCGGCUGCGUGCGUGCAUGCGUGCGUGCGUGCGUGCGUGGGGCGUGCGGUGCCUGCCGCACAGUCUUCUUCCGCCCACGCUCGGACCCCUGCCCGCCCUCGGCCCGGAUUGGCCAGCUGCUGUCUCGGAAAUGCCAUGGCAACCCCGGCCGGUUGCCUGGCGAGGCUUCGCUUCUCCCCAUUUUCCGUGGAGCCCAAGCCAGUAAAUCUCCACGCUCGGGGGCGGAAACGUCUUUGUGCUGCGUGUGCACACAGGUGUGCAGAUACCUGUGCGCGCGUGUGCAAGCGGGGGGUGGAGUGGCUGUCACCCCCAGCAGACCCCCGAGCCGGGCCGGGCCUGCACACACAGCCGUCUGCCCGAGCCCAGGCUGGGCGCGUCCCUUGCUCGGGGAACGCGAUGGUGGGGCCUCAGAGCGCAGGCUCGGUCACACCUGCUCGGAUGCCCGCUGCGACGCCCACCAACGAGGCUCCCCAAGCCCAAAGGACCCGAGGGACCAGGGCUUGUCCUCAGUGAGGAUGACAUCAUGACAGGGCUUGUGCAGCACGAUGAAGCAGGGCUUCUGCCACCUCACAGACUGUGUCCCCCACACUGGGGUGGGCGGGGCUUGGCCCGUGGUGUGAGGGGUCUUGGCGUCCCGCUGCCUGGCUGUGAGGAGCUGCGGGCCCUGCCAGUGCCCGGCCUGGGCCCCUCCUCCCCCGAGGGGUUCCUAGUGGUUAUUGAGGGACCAGCCCCAUAGAGGAAAAGGAGCGGGGAGGCCUCCUCAUUGGCGGUGGUCUUUAUUUUUUGCUUAAAAAGGAUUUAAGGAGAAUUUUAAACCAAGGAAGUUGACAAUGGCAGAGGGGAGCCUGCCCCGCUGUCACCCAAAGCCGACGGGUGGCACUGCCGGCAGCACUCUCACCCCACCCCUGGAUGUCACACGCCUGGACGAGCAUGUCCGGGGAGCAGACGGAUGUGCGUGGCAGGCAGAGGGUUGGCCCCGACCUGGGACAGCUGGCAGAACAUGGCCAGAGUGGGCAGCCCGUGGGAACCGGAGGGGCCUCAGGGGACGUGGGGGACGCGGGUGGGAAGCCAGUUCUAAGUUCACUGUUUCCCUCCUGAGCGGCGAUGGGUGAGAAAUUGCAGUAAGCACCCUGGAGAGUCUGGUUUCCUUUAUUUGGGGACAUCACAGAACUGAACUCUUUGCUGUCAGUGGCACAUAGGAUUAAGAAAUCAAAGGAAUUUGUCCCACUUUUGGCAUCACAAAGCAGAAUAGCAGAGAAAACUCUGUGAGCGCGCGCAGACAUAGGUAUUUUUCUGUUUUUCUUUUUGGGGCCGCACCUGCGGCACGUGCAAGUUCCCAGGCUAGGGGUCGAAUCGGAGCUACAGCCGCAGGAACGUGGGAUCUGAGCUGCAUCUGCGACCUACCCCACAGCUCACGGCAACGCCAGAUCCUUCACCCACAGAGCGAGGCCAGGGAUGGAACCCGCCACCUCACGGACACUCGUCAGGUUCACGUCAGCCGCUGAGCCACGACGGGAGCUCCGACACAGGUAUUCCCAGUGCCGUCUCCUCUUGGACAGCGUGUGCAGCGCCUGUUCGCGUGUCCGUGUGCGCGCAAACAUACGUGUGUGUGUGUGUGUGUGUGUGUGGUGCACUCAGGGAACGUGGCUCCAGCUGAUGCGGACACACUUUGCGAACCACAGCAGCAGAAUCAUUUUCCAUGAAAAGCCGCAGAGCGAUAUUAUCUGGGAUCCAUCCCGGAGGGAGGCAGGGAGGGAGGAGACCAACCCCACUCCCCGGGCCUGGGUGGCCUGGGGCAGUUGUUCUGACAGGACCCUGGGCAGCCGAAGCUUGAUGGAUGCUUGAUGCUCAGGUGCAGACAGAGCGCAGAGGCAGGGAGGGAGCUGCUUCCUCUGCGCGUGGACUGGGGCUGGAGGAAGGCCCCGGGUCAGUUCCCUGGGAGCAAGGCCCCUGGGGAUGCUCCCCUCCCUCUCCCCCUCCCGUGGACAGGUAGGCAGGUGGAGUGGCUUUGCAGCAGGUCCUGGGGCGGCGGGGCUGUGUCAGCCCAGCUUCCUGGUAUUGAGGGGCACGCCCCAGGGAGGAAGGAGGGGUGGGCUCCCCUGAAAAGCCCUCAGGGUGCAGCCUCCAGAACCUUCUCCAGAUCCUCAGGGAUUGGGCCUGGACUGAUGGGAAGGGCUGGGUGGCAAUGGGAGCAGCCCAGGCCCCGUCCAGGGACCCACAGUCGUGGGUGCAGCUGGCUGGUUUGGGCAGCAGCUGUGUGAAGGUUGGGGGGGGCGGUUCCGGGGCAGCGUGUCCCAGAGAGACUGAGAGCAGAGGCCGCGAGGAGGCCAGGGCAGCUGCAGUCGACAAGAGGACCCCCUCACGCAGGAGCGGGGCAGGGGGCUGCUGUGAAAGGCACGUCCCCUCCGGGGAGCCCUGGAUCUGUCUCCAGGUGGUGGAGGGUCGGCACCCCUUCCUCUGGAAGUGGAGGUGGAGCUUGGCAUGCCCCAGGGGAGACCGCACAGGCUGCCUACCCCUCCUGCCAUGGGGGCCCCAGGCAGAGGCUGAGCCUGGCGUCUGGGGAUUUGGGGGAACAAAGUCCCACUGGGGCUGGAGCAGACAAAGGGGUGGGGGCUCCCCUGCGUGUGUAGCCAGCAGCCCCCCAGUGGGCGCUCCCUCCUGCUGGCUGGCUGGGGAGGAGGUGGCUGUCCUGUUUGGGGACCUGCUGCUGGAGCAGACCGCGGGGUGAGGGCCCAAGACCUGGCUUUGCAGCCAGGACCCAGGUGUCCUUAGAGCUGAAGAUUCGCUGGUGUGGGUGUGAUGGGUGUGUCUGGGGGUAAGUGGUGGGGGGGCGGCUGUGAGAUGACCUCACCCACCAGGAAGUGCUGCAGUGGAAGAUAGGGGUGGGGGCGGCAGGGAGGACCCUGGGGACACAGGCCCAGGGGGUGCAGAAUGCCCUUCCAGGGCGGGAUGUGGAGCAGUGCCCAUCUGUGGUGCUGGGAGCUUAAGGGGGGAGGCGAGGGGCCUGGAGGCCAUCCUGAGGCUGCAGGAGGCCCCCUCGGGAGCGCAGAGGGUGGCCAGCAGCUGGCAGGCCCCUCAGUGGGGACACAGGGCUGCAUAGAGCCAGUGUGGGCACCUGGCUUGUCCAGUUCAAAGACCUCCGGGCAUGAAGGGGUGGCCCGGGGCCAGCGUGGGCUUCUUGUGGUGCCUGGAGAUCAGGCCGCCCGCUGGGCAGGUCAGUCCACAGGCUCUUCCCGCUGUGCCUGGGGCCGCACUCCUGCGAUGCCGGAACCGGAGGGAGAGGCAGGAAGACCCAGAGGCGUCACCAUGGAAACGAGGUGUGUUGGGAAGAAGCUGCCAGGAGAGGUGCUUGUGGGUGGGGCCCAGCUGUGGGCGCCUGGCUGGUGAUGGGGUCUGGACCCUCGACCCAUGGAGCGGGCACCAGGGCUGGGGGAGCCGGAGCUGCCGAUGGUCCCGCAGGUGGGCAUGUCUGUCCAGCACUGGAAGGUUCUGGACCCAAUAACUGCUCGGCAGGCCUCUCCCAAGGCUUCGGCUUUGGUUUCCUGCCUUCACGGGGCUGAGGCAGAUCAGCCUGUGGUGAAGGGCCUGGCGUGUCCGGCUCUGUAGCUGCCGUUACCUUCUCCCCUGGCGCAUGCGGAGGGUCUGUGCCCAAAGCUGGGGGGGUGCUGCUUUGCGGCAGGGUUCCUGAGUGCACCUGGGAGGGAGGGGGGAGCGAGAGGCGCCCCCUCGCUCGGGGGAUGGGGGCCACACCUGCAGCCAAACUUCUGACCUGAGAACACGUCCAGGGCCCUGGGAAAACCCCGGCCCCUCCGGCUCCCACACUGGCGCCCUGCACCCUCAGGCAUCCUGCCCCCUGGCCAGGCCCCCGUGCCGGCCCUGGGGCCCCCGAGACAAGAACAGCGGCCCCUCUGCCCAGCGCUGCUGUUACCCACUUCCCCAGAGGGGCAGCAACCCUGCAGAGCCUAAAGCCUUGAUGAGCUGACCCUCCCUGGGCACCCGUCCACCAGGAGGGCCCAGACCGGGGGCUUUUGCUCGCUCCCGGCGCUCGUACCACACAACCCACAGCCGGGGGGCUCCAGGCCUGGGGCUCGGCUGAGGGAAAAUUCGCCCAGUGCCAGCCUGUGGCCGGGCGGUCCAUCUUCUAACCAGCGGGCAGAGCCCAGUUGGCAGUGAGCGUUUCUAAAGCAUGUGGCCAUCACGUCCUGAUCCGGGCAGGGCUGGGCUGAGCCCACAGGGGUUCAGGGACCCAGGGCGGCUGAGCCCCUGGGAGGGCGGGGAGGGCCCGCAAGGACCUGGCACAGGGCGCCUCGUCCUGGCCUCUGGCACACGAGGUGGUCGGGGCCCGUGCUCAGCAUCCAGGAGGAAGGCGCGUGGCUGAGAGACUGGGUCCGGCCAGCAGCAUGAUGGCGGCAGAGGUGUCCACAUGCACGGCCCUCGAGCUAAGGCCCAGCCCGGGUUUCCUCCAGCGCCGACUGGAGCCUGACCCUCUGGGGGAGGCAGUGUCCUGAGCUGGACCAGCUGCUCGUGGUGCUUUAACGCUCUCUCCCCCUCCCUCCCUCUCUCCUUCCUUCAACAGCUUUGCUGAGACAGAAUUCACAUACCCUACGUAUCAGCCACUUCAACUGUACAACGAAACCGUUCUUAUUUUCAGGGUUGUAGAGCCCACCGUCCAUCGGGGGGGGGCAUUUAUCACCCUGUGUAAACCGUGCACCCCACCGCUCACCUCCAUCCUCCCGUUGCCGCAGCCCCUUGGCAACCACUGAACCACCUCCUGACGGAGGACUUGCUUGUUCUGGACAUUUCGCAGCGGGGGGCUCAGACAGCGGGGGAGUCUUCCGUCUGCUUCCUUCGUAGUGUUUUCAGGGUCACCCCAUGUGAUGACGUGGGUGAGGGCGUCAUUCCUUUUAAGGGCAGACUAUCCCCUUGGAGGAGAGACCGCGUCUUAUUAACGUAUACGUGAUAAAAUUGACAGUUGAGCUGUUCCCACUUUGGGCCAUCAUGAAUAAAGCUGCUGUAA
RNAcentral lists this long non-coding RNA (6446 nucleotides) under Sus scrofa (pig). Its description in RNAcentral is "lncRNA (ENSSSCG00000053912.1)". Lineage: Eukaryota; Metazoa; Chordata; Mammalia; Artiodactyla; Suidae. The record is from RNAcentral.